CACUCUGAACUCGAGUGCAUGAAGGCGGAAUCGCUAGUAAUCGCGGAUCAGCAUGCCGCGGUGAAUACGUUCCCGGGCCUUGUACACACCGCCCGUCACACCAUGGGAGUUGGCUUUACCCGAAGCCGGUGCGCUAACUCGCAAGAGAGGCAGCCGACCACGGUAGGGUCAGUGACUGGGGUGAAGUCGUAACAAGGUAGCCGUAGGGGAACCUGCGGCUGGAUCACCUCCUUU
Molecule: non-coding RNA, 234 nt
Filed under: Elstera litoralis
Lineage: Bacteria; Pseudomonadati; Pseudomonadota; Alphaproteobacteria; Rhodospirillales; Rhodospirillaceae
Description: Bacterial small subunit ribosomal RNA
Rfam family: Bacterial small subunit ribosomal RNA
Source: Rfam by way of RNAcentral